AGCCAUUAGAAGAUAUUUAUGGUYUAACCUGCCCAAUGUAUUUUAUCAAUGGCCGCGGUACCCUGACCGUGCUAAGGUAGCGUAAUAAUUUGGCUUUUAAAUGGAGUCAGGUAUGAAUGGAUUAACUGGGUUUAGCUGUCUCUUAGGUAUUUUUUUGAAUUUACUGUUCAAGUGAAAAAGCUUGAUUUAAAUAAGGGGACGAGAAGACCCUUAAAAUUUUAUUUAAAGUGAUAAAUAAUCACUACAAUUUUGUUGGGGCGACAUAGAAAUAAUUACAACUUUCUAUUUUAUACAAGCCGAAUUUUUUAAGAUAGGAAAAAUUACUUAAGGGAUAACAGCAUAAUUCUAAAAUUGAGUUUGUGACCUCGAUGUUGGACUAGGAAGCUAAUAGGUUAGAUGCUUAUUGUGCGGAUUCUGUUCGAAUUAUAACUCCU
RNAcentral lists this ribosomal RNA (434 nucleotides) under Tenellia sp. 15 DS-2016. RNAcentral's name for it is "partial 16S ribosomal RNA". It matches the Rfam family "Bacterial large subunit ribosomal RNA", at positions 1829 to 2596 of the family's 2925-position model. The record is from RNAcentral. Lineage: Eukaryota; Metazoa; Mollusca; Gastropoda; Nudibranchia; Trinchesiidae.